RNAcentral lists this ribosomal RNA (109 nucleotides) under uncultured eukaryote. RNAcentral's name for it is "partial small subunit ribosomal RNA". It matches the Rfam family "Eukaryotic small subunit ribosomal RNA", at positions 1676 to 1785 of the family's 1831-position model. The record is from RNAcentral.
UCGCUCCUACCGAUUGAGUGAUUCGGUGAAUAAUUCGGACCGCAGCAAUGUUCAGCUUCUGAUCGUUGCAGUGGAAAGUUUAGUGAACCUCAUCACUUAGAGGAAGGAG